GGAAGUGUGAAAAGGGGAAAGGCAAAUAUUGGCCCCACUUAGCUCACAUUCCUGAAGUCAACGUACGUGAUGCUUCUAAGUUUUAAACCGUGUGGAGAUUCCCACCGCAAUACAAGCAGUCAAAUUGCCAGAAAUGUACUUUCAAGUAUCUGAAUACAAAGAAAGGCUUCUUCCGAUAGACUUCCUCGUUUGCUUUUAUUUCCCGAGGGAACCACAACAAAUGGAAGACUUCUCAUUUCUUUCCAACUUGGUGCAUUUGUCCCCGGAUAUCCUCUCCAUUCAGUGAUUGUUCGCUACCCCCAUGUACACUUUGACCACUCUUGGGGAAAUAUAGCUUUGGGAAAGCUUAUGUUUAGAAUGUUCAGAGUUUCACAAUUUUAUGGAGGUAAAGUAUCUUCCUGUUGUUUUACCCCUUGAAAAUUAGUAGGAAAAUGCUACCCGUUUUGCUCAGAAGGUGUUCACAUGUUAUUUACCUUAUACAUCACUAUUUUCCUAAUAUCCAAGGAGAUGAUUACGACAUUAUGUUACAGUUUAGGACAACAUAUCUGUGGUCUAGUCUUGGAUUGAAUCCUGGAAUAUUUCUUAGUCUUGAUUGGUUACACUAACUGUACAAACAUCUCAUUCCUAUGGGGACAUCAUGCUGCUUGCAAAAGCUUCCGAGUCCAAGCAUAUCACUUUUCGUGCUCCAUGUGCUUUGGCUUUUAUAGUUUAUCUUGCUUUUAGGUCGGCAAAAAUGAUCUUGUACUUCAUUCAAACAUUCUAUGAAGUGUUAGAUUUCAGCUUCUAAACUUAAUUUGAUGGCCUUUUUUGUGAUGGACCAAGAAUAUUUAAUGUAGCUGCAAUGAUGGAAUUUACAUUGUCUCCUUGGGAUCUCAUAAUGUAUUAGGUGUAGGCCUUGAAGCACACCAUUUAACGCUUAUAAUUCCUUUCCUCCAAAAUAAAUAAGUUGAAUUACUGUUUU
Non-coding RNA from Camellia sinensis, 961 nucleotides. NCBI's taxonomy places the organism in Eukaryota, Viridiplantae, Streptophyta, Magnoliopsida, Ericales, Theaceae. The record is from RefSeq and is a predicted model, not a curated record.